Molecule: small nuclear RNA, 107 nt
Organism: Cervus hanglu yarkandensis (Yarkand deer)
Lineage: Eukaryota; Metazoa; Chordata; Mammalia; Artiodactyla; Cervidae
Source: Ensembl
GUGCUUGCUUUGGCAGCACAUGUACUAAAAUUGGAAUGAUACAGAGAAGAUUAGCAUGUCCCCUGUGCAAAGAUGUUGCAUUUCUUUUCCAUGGGGAUGGUCUUAAU